CCCGGCCCCGCUGCACCACGUACCAUAAUCCAGGUCCAGACCUGCCUCUCUACCUGUUCUCUGUCCGCCCUGCAGCCGAGCUUUUGCCGCCGUAGCCGCCGCCGCCGCCGCAUUAGCCGAGCGAAAAACGGUCCGGUUUCCCCGCAUCCGCAUCCGCAUCCGCAUCCGUCACCCGAUCCACCUGCACGCGACGAACCGACUACAGACUCACGAUCAGUGCCGGCGAAGAACCCGUCCUCUCUGGAUCAUCCUGACCGACGGCAAGUCUUACUGCUACAUUCGAUUCCCUCGUGAGUACGCGACGCGUUGCAACGAAUGAAGCACAAGGGUGACGCCAUGACUGUGAAGUCUGAGCAUACGUGGGACCGCUUAAGAAGCACCUCCCCCGAAUCCUCCCCGGCGAAAAUAACUCGCCUCACCUCUCCCCGCUCCUUGUCCUCUUCCACCUCCUUCCCGAUCGUCAAAACAUCCCUUAAUAACAUUCGGAAUCUUGUCAACGCAGCAACCAUGGACAAUAUGGACCCCAAACCAAUGCUCAACGACGAUCCGUCGGUCACGUUAACUAUUCGUCUCAUUAUGCAGGGAAAGGAAGUUGGCAGCAUAAUUGGAAAGAAAGGAGAAAUUGUAAAUAGGUUCCGUGAAGAGUCCGGUGCCAAGAUAAAUAUCUCAGAUGGCUCCUGCCCAGAACGUAUAGUCACUGUAACCGGUCCUACAAACUCGAUAUUCAAAGCGUUUACAUUGAUUUGCAAGAAGUUUGAAGAAUGGUGUUCCCAGUUCCACGAUAUUCAAGGAAGCGGCGCAGGUGGUGGCGGCGGCGUUCCAAGGCCGCCGAUCACUCUUCGGCUGAUAGUUCCUGCCUCGCAAUGCGGAUCUCUCAUUGGAAAGGGAGGAUCAAAGAUAAAGGAAAUUCGCGAAGUUACCGGCGCCUCUAUUCAAGUCGCAUCCGAAAUGCUACCAAACUCAACGGAACGUACAGUGACUAUCUCGGGCACCAGCGAGGCUGUCACGCAGUGCAUCUAUCAUAUCUGCUGUGUCAUGCUAGAGUCCCCUCCCAAAGGUGCCACGAUCCCUUAUCGCCCUAAACCCCAAGUUGGUGGGCCAGUGAUCCUGGCUGGUGGGCAAGCCUACACCAUCCAGGGUAAUUACGCGGUGCCCGCCCACUCGGACAUGGGCAAAUUGGGGAGCAAUCCUCUCGCUGGUCUCGCAGCUCUAGGUCUUGGAGGUCUCGCCACGCCUGCCAACACAGGCGGACUAAAUCCAGCUGCUUUAGCAGCACUCGCUGGAAGUCAGUUGCGAACUAGCAACACCAAUAGACAGCAGCCAGCGGCUAACAACCAGACGCAUGAGAUGACCGUUCCCAACGAGCUGAUCGGAUGCAUCAUUGGCAAGGGUGGCACGAAGAUAGCUGAAAUUCGUCAAAUAUCAGGGGCCAUGAUUCGCAUUAGCAAUUGUGAAGAGAGGGAAGGAGGAGCGACUGACCGCACCAUAACUAUCACUGGAAAUCCAGACGCGGUCGCUCUUGCACAAUAUCUCAUCAAUAUGAGUCUACAAUUUCUGUGCGAAUGUAAGAGGCGGAGAGAUAGAGCUAGAGAGAGAGAAAGCGAGAGAGGAAAAGCGAAAGAGACAAGAAGCGAGAGAGAGAGGAAGCGUAUCAUGGACUCGGAGUUAUUGAAAAACAAUAACAUCACCGCACAUUCUUUGACAAUCACUUGUCGCUAAAUUUCAUCUAAACAAUAUCCCUAAUAUGUAUUUCUCAAUUUUUCUAUAAUCAGUUUUUUUUCUCAAUCCAAUCAGUCGAGAGUGUAACGUUUUCUAUUCAAUUUACAACCUAUGUAUUUAUAUAUGCUAUUUUUGUGUUUGCUUUUUUAUUACUGACUUUUUUUCGUUUGUUUCGCAGCAUAAUAUUAUUUUUCAUAUAACCUUGCGUUUUUAUUCAUCCGAGUACCAUUAUACUUGUAUUGCGAGACACUGUGUGUGCGUACUUCUUUUUUUUCUCCCCCCAUCAUUAUUGCUAGUAAUAUCGUUUCGUGCAUUGCUUUUCUUUUUGAUGAUGAUGAUUAUAUUCUGAUUUGAAUUUAUUUUUCGGACAAUCGGAUUUUUUUUCCAAAAAUUCAUUCUUUUUUUCUGCACAAUUGAAACAUGUUACAUUUUUAAGAUACUUACAUAAACCUCGUUAAUUGAGCGUACAUAAAUAUUUUUAUAUAUAUAUAUAUAUAUAUAUAUAUAUAUGUAUGUAUGUAUGUAUGUAUAUAUACAAAUAUACAUGUGUACAUGUACAUGUACAUGUUUAUCGUACAUACAAAUCAUAGACGACUAUUUUGUCAGCACCAUACACUGCGAUAUUAUCGCGAAUCAUGAAUCUUGCUGCUAAAGAAUUUUAAAUAAGGAAGAAGAAGAAAAAAUUGAAAGUCGCGAAAAUUUCACGCAAGCGUAACACAAGAUUGUUCUGAUACUUUGCAAUCGCAAGUGUCAUUCCACAAUUUGUCAAUCAUCAAGUUGUAAUCACUUAUCUCUGCAACGCCUUUGAAGGAUGAAAAAAAAAAAAAAACCAAUCAUAUAAAUAUUGAUCAUAAUUAAUCAUACUAAUCAUACAAUAUUUAUAUAUGUAUAUAUGGCAUAAAAAGGCAUUGCAUACCUGUUGUCAAUUGUUUUUUUUUUACGCACGAAUCCGUGAUACUAUGAAAGCGAAGUAAAAACAAAAAUGCUUGGUUCUGGGUAUUAGCAUUGGUCUCUUACUAUACUCAUGUAUAUGUAUAUGACGAGAAGGAAAGUGUGAUUGAAAAAAAUACCAGAAAGAAAAUAAUGUUAAUUCUGUACACGUAUCCGUGUCGGCUAUCAUGUAACUUACAUCACUAUAUAUAUGUACACACAGAUUGUGUUUUGAUUUUGAAAAAUAACUAGAAAGAAGAAGAAAAAGAAUAAAGAAACCAAUUCGAAAAGCAAAUGAGUUGAUUUGCGUGGAAUCGAAAAAUCGAUAUGGAAUAUGGGGAAUAUAGUAUGGUAGUGAUAAAUUUUGAGAGUUUAUUAUUCACUAAACUCUUCUUGGUUGCCUCUUGAUGCGAUACAGUUUAGAUUAUCCUUGAUAUAUAUAUGUAUAAUGUAUAUGUAUAUAUAUAUAUUAUGUGUGUAUAUAUAUAUAUAUACACAUAAAUAGCGUAUUAUUAUUCCUAUUAUUAUUAUUAUUAUUAUUAUUAUUAUUAUUAUCAUCAUUUUUAUAUUUACUCAUAUACUCUAUUCAACUGUACUGUGUUUCGUAAAGCAUCGUAUCUACCUAUCUUCACACUCACACAUGCAACCACACACACAGAGAGAGAUUGAGAGGGAGAGAGAGAGAGAGAGAAAGAGAGAUACGCACUGCAUCAUUGAUACAAUAAAUUAAUCACUCAAAACAACAAUCAUGUCAUGUCAAGCAACGUAUGAAGUAAAUGGUCUUUUUUUUUUUAUCAGCGGUCUCUUCCUCUGUACAAUAUAUCAGCGUUCAUGUAUCUAAUAUCAAUAUUUCUAAUAUUUUUGUAAUUCUUGAAAAAACAAGAAAAUUCGAAUUCAUAUCAUAUUGAAAAUCGUCUCGAUUGAAUAAACGUAGAUUGACAUUUUGUAAUAUUUUCGAUCAUUCAACGUAUCAAUUCCUAGCCCGAAAAGAACUGCUUCUUUUGUUAUUUCUUCUCUUUUGUUGUUAUUCUGUUUCUGCUGAAUCUAAAUCUGAAAGUGAAAUAGUAAACGCAAAAAUAGAACACACAAAAAAAAAAAAAAAUACCUACUGUUAACAAUUGAAGCUUUCUGUCUUCUUUCUAUAUGAAUAUUCGUGUGCUCAAUUCUGUAGUGUUAAUAAGAGUAAAAGGAAGAAAGAGAGAGAGUGGAAAGUUAGAGAGGGAGAUAUAUAUAUAGAGAGAGAGAGGAGAGAGAGAGAGAGAGAAAGAGAGAGAGAGAGAGAGAGAGAGAGAGAGAGAGAGAGAGAGAGAAUCGAUAUACCUUUAAUAAUCAAGAUAGUUGAUUUUUUCAAAUCGCGAUUAUAAUCAUAAUUAUUGUAAAUUGAAUAAAAAUCCCAAUCAAAUCUGAAGUUGCAAAUUGCUAGACCAGUUAAUUAUGUAUAAUAUAAUUGAUUUGCGGGCGUUAUUCUGAAAGUAAUUCAUCUUUCAUACUGGCGUAACACGAGAAAAUUCAAAAUCUUUCAAAUAUGUACCAUACAAUUGGUCCGGCAACGUUACCGACGAAAUAUGAUUGUGUGUUCUUUAUAUAUAUAUUAAUAUCUAUUAUUAUUAUUAUUUUUUUUUUUUUAUAUAAACAGAUACUAUAUGAAAACAUUGACUUCAUUUCUUAGUAACGUAAUAAUCAAUUUAGAAGAAAGAAAAAAAAAAUGAAAAUAAAUGAAAAAUAAAUAUGGGAGUAUUCAUACGUCGCAUUAUUGUAGGCCAGGACCAUAGGAAGAUAUAAGCAUGUGUGGUUGAAUUUCUUCACGCACAUAUUGCUGAAGCUAUUAUUAUACAUUGUGUGCUUAGCGAAAGAAAGAAGAAGAAAAAAGAAAUGACGAAAAAUUGAAGGAAAAAAAAAAACAUGGCUAUUCUGUAUCACCUUGUUGAAUAAAGCUAGGCAUAUUUAAUACAAACAUAUUCCUUUGUCUUCCUUUCAAAUCUGAAAUUGCAAAAGAAUGGACUUUGCAAAUGCGUGUAUUGUAUACGCGGAUCCAGGGUAUAUAUUUUGCAAUUACUAAAAAAGAAGAAGAGAAAAUUAUAACAUAGACUCUGUUUUUCAUUCCUAAGGAUUGAAAUUGUUCUUAGAAACGCUUUAGUGAAUUUAGUUUACUUUCCCUCUAUGCGUGUAAUCGUUAUACUUUUCCUUUUCUUUCCAAAAAUUCAUUUGAUGGAAAUACAUUAUAUUUGACGUCCGUUCUUUUGCAAUUUCAUAAUUUGUGUAUCCCCUUCCACGUUCAUACAGGUCCAUUGUAUGUAUCUCCCGACGAUAACUCCAUCGAGUUGUGAUAAACCCCCAUCCGCCCAAAAAGAAAACAGAAAAAAAAAUAUUAAUGAAAAAAUCUAAUAAUUUGUAAAUACGUAUUGUUACUUUGCUUAAUUACGACAUGGUGAAAAAAAAAAAUUUGCAUAUCUGAUGGAAAAACUUGCAAUUUCGAAUCGAUGAUCUUCUAUUCGCUACUUACACGUUAUUAAAUAUGAUUGUUCGACAGAACGUUUUGAAUUUCUACAACAAUAGUAAUGAUAAUUUAAAUAAUCGAUUGAUAUUUCUCUUUUUUUUUUUCUAUUUUGUGAUAGUUGUGCGAGGGUGUGCGAUCUUCGAAGAUCAAAGAAAGAAAAAGGUGAAAAUGUUGUACGCAGAAAAAUUUUAACUCUGAUAUAAUUGUUGUUCCUUUGAUGGUUCUUCUUCGACGAAAAUGAUGCUAAUAAUUUCGAUGAUAAGACUGUAUGUAUAUAUAUAUAGGUAUAUACAUACAUAUACGAAUGUAUAAAUAUAUCUGUACAUAUAUUUAUAUAUAUAUAUAUUGUAAAACGUACAUGCCGAAGAGCGGGGAGACUCGUUCAGAGAGAUCUAAAGAGAAAAAGAGAGCGAGAGAGAGCGAAGAUGUAUCCAUCCAACCAACUUGACCCAGGCUCCUGCCCGCUACCGGAUAUCGAUGGAGACAGCAGGAAUGGCGAUCCCAGCGUAUCAUUACAUAACACCGAACCACAUCGUUAAAUCUUCGAUUCACUAAAGACGGGCUCUACGGAAAGAGUUUGAAGAAGAAGCAAAUGUUGGAGAUGAAACAAAGAAACAGUAAAGAGUAAAAAGGAUAUACAUACACACACAUAUAUAUAUAUAUAUAUAUACACAUACAUAAAUAUAUAUAUAUAUAGCGAGACACAUAUAUACACAAUGCUGUCAAAGCGUUUGGGGCUGAGCCAAAAUUGUGUUCAUCCAACCAACUUUUUGCAGUAAUUAUUACGCGUAACGUGAGACGUUAUUACGUGGUUAAAUACGCGCAAACAAACAUGAAACAUGUUGGAGCACUUUGUUGAAGUGUAAUAACUUGUAUAAAGUACGCAUUGCGACAUGAUGCUGCAGCCCCACGAGCUGCUGCUGACGAUUGGUAAAGGGAACAAGCCAAAGAUAUGUUAGUUUUCAUUUUUAUAUAUUUAAACAAAGAUAAUGAAAAAAAAAUUUUAAAGUAAAAAGAGGACUAAGGAAAGGUGAAUUAGAAGAGGCCGAAGAGGAGGAAGGAAAAUAAUAAUUAGGAGAAGAAUGAUAGUAGUAAGAUAUUCGUGCGAGUAUUUCUAGACUGGUUGAUGUUAGACUGUUUUCUUUUCUUUUUUUUUUUUUUUUUUUUUUUUUUUUAAUCGACAAAUGUGGCACAGUCGAAAUUCUACGGACACGCUCAACGUUGCUCGCGGUAAUUGGAUCUGUUUCUGACCGACUUGCAAUCAAUUUAUAAGAAUCGAGGAUCCUACUCUGGGUUCAAGCAAGUCUGGCGUGUCUUUUUUUUUUUUUCCCCUUGUGAAUCGAGUUCCAAGGCAAGGAAGAUAGAGUUCUUCGAACUUAGGACAGAUUGUAAGUGACAAGUCAAAUGUACUGAAAAUUGUGCAAACAAAAGCAUCAAAGUAUGACUUGAGUUAAAUUUUGAGCACUAAGUACAUUUGAAAUCAGUUUUCUUCUUGCGUAGCUUGUCUGAAACUUGUAAAAAAGCGCUAGACACGCCGAAGAACUUUCGCGGAUUGAUUAGAAGUUUACGAUCGAAUUUCAAUCUUCUAGCAACACUCGUAAAUUCACAACAAUAAACAGUUUACCUUGGCAAUAUUUUUUACAAUUCAAUUACGACGAGCCGUCGAGCCUGCGAAUUGUGGAACUGACAACGAGUACAAAGUACUCAAAAUACGUCAUAUUUAUAUAAAAAUUGUAGUUGCGUAGCUUUUGCAUGCAAACUCAAUUCGAAAUUAUUAUUGUUGAUAGUUAUUAGUUACUAUUAUUAAUUAAUAUUAUUAUUAUACGGUGUUAUUUUAUACUUGUUAUGCAGUGUUCAAGGACACUCGAUGAUGAAGACCUUAUGUAUAUACGACUGUCUGACUUGGAUAAAAUGAUAUCAUUUUACUGCUGCAAUACGUGUUUUACCUUGCGAAUGAUGAUGCGAAUUCAAUGAGCCGGCGUUAAUUAUACGAUUGACUUUAGCAAAAGAGAAAAAAAAAAAAAAAAAGAAAGAAAAAAAAACAAACAAACAAACAAACAAAACAAAAAACUAUAAUAGACUUGUGAACCAAAUAUUUACUCGUAUAUGCAUAUGAUGUUAACGACUACAAUUAUACGUACAUAUAAUAUAUGUUAUACGUGAAAGAAAAAAGAAUCAUUAAAUGAUUCAAUUUUUUCAAAUUACUUUCUUAUUGAAACGUUAAGUCAUUUUCGAGGCAAAAUUCAGUUGUGAAUACGAAGAAGACGAGAAGAAGAAGAAGAAUAAGACGUGAAUAAAAAAAAAAAAAAAAAAAAAGUGACGACAAAAUGAAGGGAAAAACCAAACAAAAAAUUAUUAUUAUCAUUAUUCUAUUAUUAUGUGAAGUAUGAAUAGUAAUAUAUAUUUAUUAUACAAUUAAAAAUUAGGAUAAAUGAAAACAAAAAAAAAAAAGAAAAAAAAAAGAAAUAUAGUAGCGAGAUAAAAGUGCGAAUUUAAAGCCUAAGUUCGAAAUACGAGGCGUUAUUUUCCCGCUCUCUCUCUCUCUCUCUCUCUAUCCAAUAUCAGUAUUUUGCGAGAUACACUUUAACGCAGCAUCUCAGGCAGAUUGAUUGCGAUUGUGGCAUAGUCUGAUUUUAACGUUAACGUGUGGAGAGAGAAAACCAAAAAAAAAAAAAAACAAUAAUUUCAAUCACAUUGUAAUUCAUUGUU
RNAcentral lists this unclassified non-coding RNA (7855 nucleotides) under Neodiprion lecontei (redheaded pine sawfly). RNAcentral's name for it is "poly(rC)-binding protein 3, transcript variant X14". Lineage: Eukaryota; Metazoa; Arthropoda; Insecta; Hymenoptera; Diprionidae. The record is from RNAcentral.